GCCGCUGUGGUGAAAUUGGCAGACACGCCGGACUUAGGAUCCUGUACCGAAAGGUGUAUCGGUUCGACUCCGAUCAGCGGCACCA
Molecule: transfer RNA, 85 nt
Filed under: Bacillota bacterium
Lineage: Bacteria; Bacillati; Bacillota
Description: Firmicutes bacterium (gut metagenome) tRNA-Leu
Rfam family: tRNA
About the family: Transfer RNA (tRNA) molecules are approximately 80 nucleotides in length. Their secondary structure includes four short double-helical elements and three loops (D, anti-codon, and T loops).
Source: RNAcentral